GUGGAAUUCCCUCCUAUAACUGAGAAUGAAACCAUAACUGAUACCUUUAAAAUCACACAUAUGGUUUCUGUUUUUAAAUAUUCUCUGAGUCACAGAUGUCUGGCAGGCCAGUCAGUACUGAGAAAAGAAAAAAUAUUUACAAUUCUAGGUCACUAUUUCUCACAAAAAAAAAAUCAGUAAAGAAAGUUGAAAACCACUUGCAUGUCACCAAUCCUUAAAUUUCAUUUGGGUGCUGGAGUAUUUAAUUUGAGGGAAGAAAGUGAAGCUUUCCUGUGCAGGAAAGUUUUUCCCACAUGGCACCUUAAAGAUGCAACUAUGAACUAUUCAAACAUAUCACUUUCCCUCUCCCAGCGUGACAAAAUCUUCUCUCCAGAGGUUUACAUCUUUGCCAGACUUAGUUUAGUCCCUUCUCCCCUGCGAGGCCAACUGGAGCUGAUCAGUUGUUGUUGUUGAAUAGGAUCCCACAG
RNAcentral lists this long non-coding RNA (467 nucleotides) under Crocodylus porosus (Australian saltwater crocodile). RNAcentral describes it as "lncRNA (ENSCPRG00005001545.1)". The record is from RNAcentral. Lineage: Eukaryota; Metazoa; Chordata; Crocodylia; Crocodylidae.